This 376-nucleotide ribosomal RNA is filed under the name uncultured bacterium. RNAcentral describes it as "bacterial SSU rRNA". It matches the Rfam family "Bacterial small subunit ribosomal RNA", at positions 521 to 895 of the family's 1533-position model. The record is from RNAcentral.
UAAUACGUAGGGCGCAAGCGUUGUCCGGAAUUAUUGGGCGUAAAGAGCUCGUAGGUGGCUGGUCGCGUCUGCCGUGAAAGCCCGCAGCUUAACUGCGGGUCUGCGGUGGAUACGGGCCGGCUAGAGGUAGGUAGGGGCAAGUGGAAUUCCUGGUGUAGCGGUGAAAUGCGCAGAUAUCAGGAGGAACACCGGUGGCGAAGGCGGCUUGCUGGGCCUUACCUGACGCUGAGGAGCGAAAGCGUGGGGAGCGAACAGGAUUAGAUACCCUGGUAGUCCACGCUGUAAACGUUGGGCGCUAGGUGUGGGGGUCUUCCACGAUCUCCGUGCCGGAGCUAACGCAUUAAGCGCCCCGCCUGGGGAGUACGGCCGCAAGGCU